GCGUGAUUGGUUUAGUGGUAAAAUUCUCCGUUGCCAUCAGGGAGCCCUGGGUUUCGAUUCCCAGAUCACGUA
RNAcentral lists this transfer RNA (72 nucleotides) under Cerataphis brasiliensis yeast-like symbiont. RNAcentral describes it as "tRNA-Gly (GCC) (tRNA-Gly-GCC-4-1)". It matches the Rfam family "tRNA". From Rfam's summary of the family: Transfer RNA (tRNA) molecules are approximately 80 nucleotides in length. Their secondary structure includes four short double-helical elements and three loops (D, anti-codon, and T loops). Lineage: Eukaryota; Fungi; Ascomycota. The record is from RNAcentral.